UGGGGAAUAUUGGACAAUGGGCGCAAGCCUGAUCCAGCAAUACCGCGUGUGUGAAGAAGGCCUGAGGGUUGUAAAGCACUUUCAGCGGGGAGGAAGGGUAAUAUGUUAAUAGUAUAUUAUUUUGACGUUACCCGCAGAAGAAGCACCGGCUAACUCUGUGCCAGCAGCCGCGGUAAUACAGAGGGUGCAAGCGUUAAUCGGAAUUACUGGGCGUAAAGAGUGCGUAGGCGGAUAUUUAAGUCAUAUGUGAAAGCCCCGGGCUUAACCUGGGAAUUGCAUCUGAUACUGGGUAUCUAGAGUAUGGUAGAGGAUAGUGGAAUUUCUGGUGUAGCGGUGAAAUGCGUAGAUAUCAGAAGGAACACCAGUGGCGAAGGCGACUGUCUGGGCCAAUACUGACGCU
This 400-nucleotide ribosomal RNA is filed under the name uncultured bacterium. RNAcentral describes it as "bacterial SSU rRNA". It matches the Rfam family "Bacterial small subunit ribosomal RNA", at positions 355 to 747 of the family's 1533-position model. The record is from RNAcentral.